AUUGUUUGCUGAACAUGCGAGAAGAUGAUCACAAUAUGAUAUUGUGAUCAUCUUCUCGCAUGUUCAGCAAACAAU
Molecule: non-coding RNA, 75 nt
Organism: Paramuricea clavata
Lineage: Eukaryota; Metazoa; Cnidaria; Anthozoa; Malacalcyonacea; Plexauridae
Source: the annotation of a GenBank genome assembly